ACCUGCGGAGGGAUCAUUACAAGUGACCCCGGUCUUACCACCGGGAUGUUCAUAACCCUUUGUUGUCCGACUCUGUUGCCUCCGGGGCGACCCUGCCUUCGGGCGGGGGCUCCGGGUGGACACUUCAAACUCUUGCGUAACUUUGCAGUCUGAGUAAACUUAAUUAAUAAAUUAAAACUUUUAACAACGGAUCUCUUGGUUCUGGCAUCGAUGAAGAACGCAGCGAAAUGCGAUAAGUAAUGUGAAUUGCAGAAUUCAGUGAAUCAUCGAAUCUUUGAACGCACAUUGCGCCCCCUGGUAUUCCGGGGGGCAUGCCUGUUCGAGCGUCAUUUCACCACUCAAGCCUCGCUUGGUAUUGGGCAACGCGGUCCGCCGCGUGCCUCAAAUCGACCGGCUGGGUCUUCUGUCCCCUAAGCGUUGUGGAAACUAUUCGCUAAAGGGUGUUCGGGAGGCUACGCCGUAAAACAACCCCAUUUCUAAGGUGACCUC
This 489-nucleotide ribosomal RNA is filed under the name Cladosporium sp. 35a. RNAcentral describes it as "partial 18S ribosomal RNA". The stretch from base 176 to 329 matches the Rfam family "5.8S ribosomal RNA". The record is from RNAcentral. Lineage: Eukaryota; Fungi; Ascomycota; Dothideomycetes; Cladosporiales; Cladosporiaceae.